This 30-nucleotide non-coding RNA is filed under the name Rattus norvegicus (Norway rat). The record is from RNAcentral. Lineage: Eukaryota; Metazoa; Chordata; Mammalia; Rodentia; Muridae.
UGGGAAGAUUUUGUUUUACCUUUCUGGGAC